RNAcentral lists this unclassified non-coding RNA (397 nucleotides) under plant metagenome. RNAcentral describes it as "partial contains small subunit ribosomal RNA and internal transcribed spacer 1". The stretch from base 1 to 46 matches the Rfam family "Eukaryotic small subunit ribosomal RNA", at positions 1786 to 1831 of the family's 1831-position model. The record is from RNAcentral.
AAGUCGUAACAAGGUAACCGUAGGUGAACCUGCGGUUGGAUCAUUAAUAAUCCAAACACACCUGUGUGCAGCGAGGGGAUGUCCAAGGAUCGAUUUGAUCCGAGGCGCUUCGCGUUGUUUCACAACCCAAACCAUGUGCAAACGAAACUGUACUUGGGGGCUCUGCGUUGCCUUGUGGGACAUGAAGCGCCCACACGGUCGUCCUCAGAACGUCAAAAUAGGUUUGUCGAUUCGCCGAUUGAGCGAUGAGAUGGUCUCUAAUGUUCUGAAGCCAGACCCCCGGAGGCUCCGGCCUCCAUGUUUCUCUACUCUGUGGGGUUACUGUGCAUUUGUGCGCUUGCGCAUCUGCAGUUCGCUGAAUACACUGUGUAUUGUAAAGAAUCGUUUAAAUUGAAAA